GGAUUGUGUCCAGGCAUUUGUUUCUUGACUUUAUCUCAUAUAAAACACACAGCAGCAAGCUCAGCAAGACUUAGACAAUAAAUGCAUGUUUCUAGGUUGGUGAAAAAGGAGACAGA
Chiloscyllium plagiosum (whitespotted bambooshark) is the source of this 116-nucleotide non-coding RNA. The record is from RefSeq and is a predicted model, not a curated record. Lineage: Eukaryota; Metazoa; Chordata; Chondrichthyes; Orectolobiformes; Hemiscylliidae.